This is a long non-coding RNA of Syngnathus typhle (broad-nosed pipefish), 600 nucleotides long. RefSeq lists it as uncharacterized. Lineage: Eukaryota; Metazoa; Chordata; Actinopteri; Syngnathiformes; Syngnathidae. The record is from RefSeq and is a predicted model, not a curated record. The transcript is spliced from 2 exons.
GGCUUCAACUUAUUAUUAUUAUUUUUUUUAUUUCCUCUAUCCCACCCCCUACCCCCACCCCCGACACGCUCUUGUUGCCCCCUCCUGCUCCUCUCGCUUUCUGCAUCCUUCUCUUUGGCACUGUGAAACCAACUAUGUCCACGCGGAGUUUGUGUGCAUGUGUGAUGUGUGCGCGCGUGAGUGCGCGGGGAAAAACUUGAGGCACGUCCACGCCAGCCGCAACCACCUUUGCCAACAUCAAACCGGGCAGCUCCCAUCUGACUUGGUCUCUGAUAGCCGCCAACGCCACGCCACGUCGAGAUUGACGGACAAUUAAAGAGCAGGAGGCGACUGCCGGGCCGUGUGAUGUGUAAGGGCUCCUCCGACAUCUAAAAUGAAGAGUUAGCUUUUUUUUUUUUUCUGAUCCCUUUCGCGAGGACAAGAAGGAGAACAAGCUAGCCCGGGCACAAACAAAUGUUUGCACUGGAGAGCUAUUGAUUUGCUAUCUUCUCAGCUAUUCACUGACACACGCAUACACACACAAAUACACAUGGAUACAAACAUCCGCAUGUGAAAUGAAGCCACCGAUGCCGGAUUGAGUCAAUAAAGAAUUUAAAACAA